AACGCACCUUGCGCUCCUUGGUAUUCCGAGGAGCAUGCUUGUUUGAGUGUCAUAGUCUUCUCAACCCUUCUGUCUUUUUCAUUAAAGGCAGCUGGGCUUGGACUUGGAGGUCUUGCAGGCGUCCGAAUUUUUAAUUCGGAAGUCAGCUCCUCUGAAAUGCAUUAGCUUGAAUAGAACCAAGCAUGAUUCAGCGUGAUAAUUGUCUACGUUGCUUCAUCUCGGUGAAUUUAAUGUUCAAGCUUCUAACCGUCCCUUGGGACAAUCUCUGAACAUCUGACCUCAAAUCAAGUAGGACUACCCGCUGAACUUAA
This 311-nucleotide unclassified non-coding RNA is filed under the name uncultured Steccherinum. RNAcentral's name for it is "partial contains 5.8S ribosomal RNA, internal transcribed spacer 2, and large subunit ribosomal RNA". The stretch from base 1 to 52 matches the Rfam family "5.8S ribosomal RNA", at positions 103 to 154 of the family's 154-position model. The record is from RNAcentral. Lineage: Eukaryota; Fungi; Basidiomycota; Agaricomycetes; Polyporales; Steccherinaceae.